AACAGGAUUAGAUACCCUGGUAGUCCACGCUGUAAACGAUGCUAACUCGUUUUUGGGGAUUUAUCUUCAGAGACUAAGCGAAAGUGAUAAGUUAGCCACCUGGGGAGUACGAACGCAAGUUUGAAACUCAAAGGAAUUGACGGGGGCCCGCACAAGCGGUGGAUUAUGUGGUUUAAUUCGAUGAUACGCGAGGAACCUUACCAAGGCUUAAAUGGGAAUUGAUCGGUUUAGAAAUAGACCUUCCUUCGGGCAAUUUUCAAGGUGCUGCAUGGUUGUCGUCAGCUCGUGCCGUGAGGUGUUAGGUUAAGUCCUGCAACGAGCGCAACCCCUGUCACUAGUUGCCAUCAUUCAGUUGGGGACUCUAGUGAGACUGCCUACGCAAGUAGAGAGGAAGGUGGGGAUGACGUCAAAUCAUCACGGCCCUUACGCCUUGGGCCACACACGUAAUACAAUGGCCGGUACAGAGGGCAGCUACACAGCGAUGUGAUGCAAAUCUCGAAAGCCGGUCUCAGUUCGGAUUGGAGUCUGCAACUCGACUCUAUGAAGCUGGAAUCGCUAGUAAUCGCGCAUCAGCCAUGGCGCGGUGAAUACGUUCCCGGGCCUUGUACACACCGCCCGUCAAGCCAUGGAAGUCUGGGGUACCUGAAGUCGGUGACCGUAAAAGGAGCUGCCUAGGGUAAAACAGGUAACUAGGGCUAAGUCGUAACAAGGUAGCCGUA
RNAcentral lists this ribosomal RNA (719 nucleotides) under uncultured Bacteroidota bacterium. Its description in RNAcentral is "bacterial SSU rRNA". It matches the Rfam family "Bacterial small subunit ribosomal RNA", at positions 771 to 1504 of the family's 1533-position model. The record is from RNAcentral. Lineage: Bacteria; Pseudomonadati; Bacteroidota.